Non-coding RNA from Gossypium raimondii (Peruvian cotton), 143 nucleotides. The record is from Rfam. NCBI's taxonomy places the organism in Eukaryota, Viridiplantae, Streptophyta, Magnoliopsida, Malvales, Malvaceae.
UGUUAAAAAAUCGAUCCAUUUGUAUUGUUGAAACUAGCAUGACUGAUGAAUAACCAAAGAGUGAUACGUAUCAUGCCACAUAUAUCUCAUGUUGACGUACAAUGACCAAUUUUUAACAAUAAAAAUAAAUAGAAUUUUUAGAA